GUCGAGAAUCUUUCACAAUGGGGGCAACCCUGAUGGAGCGACGCCGCGUGGAGGAUAAGGUCUUCGGAUUGUAAACUCCUGUCAUGCGUGAACAAGGUUGCUUGGUUAAUACCUGGGCAAAUUGAUGGUAACGCAAGAGGAAGAGACGGCUAACUCUGUGCCAGCAGCCGCGGUAAUACAGAGGUCUCAAGCGUUGUUCGGAAUCACUGGGCGUAAAGGGUGCGUAGGUGUCGUGGUAAGUCAGAUGUGAAAGCCCGGGGCUCAACCUCGGAACUGCAUCCGAUACUGCCAUGCUAGAGUACUGGAGAGGUGACUAGAAUUCUCGGUGUAGCAGUGAAAUGCGUAGAUAUCGAGAGGAAUACCAAAGGCGUAGGCAGGUCACUGGACAGUUACUGACACUGAGGCACGAAGGCCAGGGGAGCGAACGGGAUUAGAUACCCGUGUAGUCC
RNAcentral lists this ribosomal RNA (449 nucleotides) under uncultured bacterium. RNAcentral describes it as "partial 16S ribosomal RNA". It matches the Rfam family "Bacterial small subunit ribosomal RNA", at positions 354 to 796 of the family's 1533-position model. The record is from RNAcentral.